This 813-nucleotide ribosomal RNA is filed under the name uncultured bacterium. RNAcentral describes it as "bacterial SSU rRNA". It matches the Rfam family "Bacterial small subunit ribosomal RNA", at positions 1 to 805 of the family's 1533-position model. The record is from RNAcentral.
GGAAUUCGCCCUUAGAGUUUGAUCCUGGCUCAGGAUGAACGCUGGCGGCGUGCUUAACACAUGCAAGUCGAACGGGGGUCAUUUUGCGGAAGUCUUCGGACGGAAGUGAAUUGACUCGAGUGGCGGACGGGUGAGUAACACGUGAGCAACCUGCCUUUUGCUGGGGAAUAACUGUGGGAAACCAUGGCUAAUACCGCAUGUUGUACUGACUGGGCAUCCAGUUGGUAUGAAAGGAGAAAUCCGGCAGAAGAUGGGCUCGCGUCCGAUUAGGUAGUUGGUGGGGUAAUGGCUCACCAAGCCAACGAUCGGUAGCCGGACUGAGAGGUCGAACGGCCACAUUGGGACUGAGACACGGCCCAGACUCCUACGGGAGGCAGCAGUGGGGAAUAUUGGGCAAUGGGGGAAACCCUGACCCAGCGACGCCGCGUGAAGGACGAAGGCUUUCGGGUUGUAAACUUCUUUGGGGAGGGACGAAAUUGACGGUACCUCCAGAACAAGCCACGGCUAACUACGUGCCAGCAGCCGCGGUAAUACGUAGGUGGCAAGCGUUAUCCGGAUUUACUGGGUGUAAAGGGCGCGCAGGUGGUUCUGAAAGUCAGAUGUGAAAGAUCAAGGCUUAACUUUGACAGGUCAUCUGAAACUUUGGGACUUGAGUAUCAGAGGGGAAAGUGGAAUUCCUGGUGGAGCGGUAAAAUGCGCAGAGAUCAGGAGGAACACCGGUGGCGAAGGCGACUUUCUGGCUGACAACUGACGCUGAGGCGCGAAAGCGUGGGGAGCAAACAAGAGUAGAUACCCUGGUAGUCCACGCCGUAA